This 509-nucleotide ribosomal RNA is filed under the name Paenibacillaceae bacterium CL3.33. RNAcentral's name for it is "bacterial SSU rRNA". It matches the Rfam family "Bacterial small subunit ribosomal RNA", at positions 17 to 503 of the family's 1533-position model. The record is from RNAcentral. Lineage: Bacteria; Bacillati; Bacillota; Bacilli; Caryophanales; Paenibacillaceae.
CCCUGGCUCAGGACGAACGCUGGCGGCAUGCCUAAUACAUGCAAGUCGAGCGGAGUUUGAGAGGAAGCUUGCUUCCUUUCAGACUUAGCGGCGGACGGGUGAGUAACACGUAGGCAACCUGCCCUCAAGCCUGGGAUAACUACCGGAAACGGUAGCUAAUACCGGAUAAUUUCUUUUUUCUCCUGAGAGAAGAAUGAAAGGCGGAGCAAUCUGCUGCUUGGGGAUGGGCCUGCGGCGCAUUAGCUAGUUGGUGGGGUAACGGCCCACCAAGGCGACGAUGCGUAGCCGACCUGAGAGGGUGAACGGCCACACUGGGACUGAGACACGGCCCAGACUCCUACGGGAGGCAGCAGUAGGGAAUCUUCCGCAAUGGGCGCAAGCCUGACGGAGCAAUGCCGCGUGAGUGAUGAAGGUUUUCGGAUCGUAAAGCUCUGUUGCCAGGGAAGAACGUCCGGUAGAGUAACUGCUGCCGGAGUGACGGUACCUGAGAAGAAAGCCCCGGCUAACUA